AGCGAACGCUGGCGGCGUGCCUAACACAUGCAAGUCGAACGUGAAAGGGGCGAACCCUCGAGUAAAGUAGGCGUACGGGUGAGUAACGCGUAGGUAAUCUACCUUAGAGUUUGGUAAUAACCUGCCGAAAGGCGGGCUAAUACUGGAUAGAGCGAGAGAUUCGUAGAUGAAUUUUCGGGUAAAGGGAGCUUGUAAGAGCCCUCGCUUUAAGAUGAGCCUGCGUCCCAUCAGCUAGUUGGUAAGGUAAUGGCUUACCAAGGCAAUGACGGGUAGCUGGUCUGAGAGGAUGAUCAGCCACACUGGAACUGAAACACGGUCCAGACUCCUACGGGAGGCAGCAGUGGGGGAAUCUUGCGCAAUGGACGAAAGUCUGACGCAGCCACGCCGCGUGAGUGAAGAAGGCCUCGGUUGU
Molecule: ribosomal RNA, 412 nt
Filed under: uncultured bacterium
Lineage: Bacteria
Description: bacterial SSU rRNA
Rfam family: Bacterial small subunit ribosomal RNA
Source: RNAcentral